CCGAGCGUCGUCGGUCCUUCGCGGACUGGACCUCACCGUCCUCUGACCGAAAUUACCCUUCAUUAUGCUUCGGCCCUCGCGGCCGACGAACCAAACCCUUGAACGUUGAAUCUGAGAGGCGAAUGCCUAACCUAGUA
RNAcentral lists this unclassified non-coding RNA (137 nucleotides) under uncultured fungus. RNAcentral's name for it is "sequence contains ITS1". Lineage: Eukaryota; Fungi. The record is from RNAcentral.